RNAcentral lists this ribosomal RNA (460 nucleotides) under uncultured bacterium. RNAcentral's name for it is "partial 16S ribosomal RNA". It matches the Rfam family "Bacterial small subunit ribosomal RNA", at positions 338 to 795 of the family's 1533-position model. The record is from RNAcentral.
CCUACGGGUGGCAGCAGUGAGGAAUAUUGGUCAAUGGGCGGGAGCCUGAACCAGCCAAGUCGCGUGAGGGAAGACGGUCCUAUGGAUUGUAAACCUCUUUAGGCGGGGAGCAAUGCCGGGCACGUGUGCCCGGAGGGAGAGUACCCGCAGAAUAAGCAUCGGCUAACUCCGUGCCAGCAGCCGCGGUAAUACGGAGGAUGCGAGCGUUAUCCGGAUUUAUUGGGUUUAAAGGGUGCGUAGGCGGGCAUUUAAGCCGGCGGUCAAAUGUCGGGGCUCAACCCCGGCCUGCCGUCGGAACUGGGUGCCUUGAGUGGGCGAGAAGUAUGCGGAAUGCGUGGUGUAGCGGUGAAAUGCAUAGAUAUCACGCAGAACCCCGAUUGCGAAGGCAGCAUACCGGCGCCCUACUGACGCUGAGGCACGAAAGUGCGGGUAUCGAACAGGAUUAGAUACCCCGGUAGUC